RNAcentral lists this ribosomal RNA (465 nucleotides) under uncultured bacterium. RNAcentral's name for it is "partial 16S ribosomal RNA". It matches the Rfam family "Bacterial small subunit ribosomal RNA", at positions 338 to 795 of the family's 1533-position model. The record is from RNAcentral.
CCUACGGGAGGCAGCAGUAGGGAAUCUUCCACAAUGGGCGAAAGCCUGAUGGAGCAACGCCGCGUGGGUGAAGAAGGUCUUCGGAUCGUAAAACCCUGUUGUUAGAGAAGAAAGUGCGUGAGAGUAACUGUUCACGUUUCGACGGUAUCUAACCAGAAAGCCACGGCUAACUACGUGCCCGCAGCCGCGGUAAUACGUAGGUUGCAAGCGUUAUCCGGAUUUAUUGGGCGUAAAGGGAACGCAGGCGGUCUUUUAAGUCUGAUGUGAAAGCCUUCGGCUUAACCGGAGUAGUGCAUUGGAAACUGGGAGACUUGAGUGCAGAAGAGGAGAGUGGAACUCUAUGUGUAGCGGUGAAAUGCGUAGAGAUAUGGAAGAACACCAGUGGCGAAGGCGGCUCUCUGGUCUGUAACUGACGCUGAGGUUCGAAAGCGUGGGUAGCAAACAGGAUUAGAUACCCUAGUAGUC